RNAcentral lists this unclassified non-coding RNA (228 nucleotides) under Hevea brasiliensis (rubber tree). The record is from RNAcentral. Lineage: Eukaryota; Viridiplantae; Streptophyta; Magnoliopsida; Malpighiales; Euphorbiaceae.
AAUCAUUUGCAAGAAAAGAAUUCACACCAAAUCAUGCUUUUAAAAUAAAUUUUAAGUUAAGAAUUGAAUUGUUUUCAAUUAACCAAAAAGAAAUCUCGUAAAAUUCUACCUUCCCCCAACAAGGGGAUACAGAACCACAGAGUAACCAACAAGGAAAUGAACUUUCUUCACUAUACUUCAGAAACACCAUAGUUUCAAAAUUUAUCACAAAUUCAUAGAAAAAAAAAA